GUGGUGGCUCGGUGGCAGAGCGCUUGCCUAGCAUGUGUGAGGCACCGAGUUCGAUCCUCAGCACCACA
This 68-nucleotide transfer RNA is filed under the name Marmota monax (woodchuck). Its description in RNAcentral is "tRNA.Ala". The record is from RNAcentral. Lineage: Eukaryota; Metazoa; Chordata; Mammalia; Rodentia; Sciuridae.